AAAGAAUUAGUUAAAUUAUAACAUAAAUAUGUCAAAUUUAAAUUAUUUAAAAUUAAAUUAAAUAUUCUUUU
Molecule: transfer RNA, 71 nt
Filed under: Potanthus flavus
Lineage: Eukaryota; Metazoa; Arthropoda; Insecta; Lepidoptera; Hesperiidae
Also listed under: 1 other name
Description: tRNA-Asp
Source: RNAcentral